Felis catus (domestic cat) is the source of this 3441-nucleotide long non-coding RNA. RefSeq lists it as uncharacterized. The record is from RefSeq and is a predicted model, not a curated record. Lineage: Eukaryota; Metazoa; Chordata; Mammalia; Carnivora; Felidae. The transcript has 5 exons.
CGAGGGCCCCGCCCACAAGCCCACAGCUCCAAGGCUUGCUGUCAGGGAGGCGGGAAGCAGGAAGUGUGUCCGGGUUUCCACCCCAGCAGGCCUUGCCUCUUCCCCUGCGGCGGGUUAAGGGGUGGAGGCCGUGCCACGGAGCAUCAUUUCUGUUGGUUUUUCUCGCCUUUUCCCAAAGAGGAAAAAAAAGGGGGCUUUGCAGGCUAAAGGGGCUGGGGCGCGAAGAGCUACCCUCCAGGGAUGUUCCUGCCCUUAGGAGGGCAGAGAGGAGGGGAAACGAGGUCAGUUCCGAUAGUACCGCUGCGGGGUCUCGCUGAGACUUUAGAGAUGUCCCCCAAAAUCGCUUCUUCGGGCAACUUCAAAAUCCACCUAGCCACUCCACCUGGAGAGCAACGGGCACCUCAAACUUAACAUAUCUGAACCACGCUCCCGGCCCAACUCACCAAAACAAAAACUGUGCUCCAUCAGUCUUGGCCAUCUCAGUGGCUACUCCAUUCUUUCACGUGCUCAGGACAACACCGUGGAGUCGUCCCUGCCUUCUCCGUUCAAACACCACAGCCAGUCGGUCAAAAAAUCGUGUUGUCCUGUCUUCAAAAUAAAUCUCUAAUCCCACCCCACCUGUCCCUGCUCUGGCCUGAUGCACUUGUGUGAUUGAUCACACUGGCCUCCCUGCUGCCACCCAGCACCUGCACAGUCCAGCGGAAACACUGCAGCCAGCGUUUCAAUCCUUUGAAGUCUGAGAUCGUUUUGCUACUCUGCUUAGCACUUUCUGAUGGUUCCUCGUGUCGCUCAAGCUAAAAGCUCUGCUUGAUUUGCCCCUAACCUCACUUCCUUCUGUUCUCACCUUGCUUGCUCUGCUCCAGCUAAACUAGCCUCCUUGCUAUCCUUGAAAAAGCUGGCCACACUCAUGCCUUUGGCCUUGCUCUCCCUCCAAACGUUUCGGCUCUCUUCCUCACCUUUCUCUCACCUUGCCUUCAAGUCUUUGCUUAGGUAGCAUCCUCUCAAAGAAACAUACUCUGACCACCCUAUUGAAAAAUGCACUUGUUGGGAUGAGCACUGGGUCUUGUAUGUAAGCCAAUUUGACAAUAAAUUAUAUUAAAAUGUUUUUAAUAAAAUUAAAAAUUAAAAACUAAAAGCAACCUCCCCACCACUCCUAAUCCCCCUUACUCUGCUAUAUUUUUUUCAUAGUGCUUAUCACCUUUUACUACAAUAAAAAUGUACUUGUGUGUAUUGUCUUCUGUCCCCUCUUCUCCACACACAAAAGUGCACACACACACACAACAUAGCCAUCAAUGCAGGGACUGUAUCUGUAUUGUUUAAUGAAUGACAAUCCCUGACAUGUAGUAGGUUCUCAUUGUCUAUUUUCUGCAUGAAUGAAUGUCCCUAGAAUGUACAGUCCUCAAGGGUAAGGGACCCUCGUGCUCAGAACAGCACCUGGCACAGAGUCAGCACUUAGGAAAUAUUUGCUAAGUGAAAGUGACCACGGUUUUAAAAGGUGACCUGUACUGGUUGCUUUGACCUUCAGGGAAGACCUAAUACCCCUAUAUCAAAUAGGUUCUGCUGCCUGUAAGAACUUAAAGUUCUGGUUCUUAUUCAAUACGCAUGUAGACAAGCUAAAUCAGGCCCUGUAGAAAAAGUAUGAAAGAACUAAAAGAUGUGGUGCCUUGAAAGGCAGCAGACAGCUGUUCCAUUUCCCCAAAUUUCUAGAGCCAAAAAGAGAGAGAUUGUAAAUAAAAUGACUGGUUCCAGACCACAUCUGAUAGAUGGUGGCAAAGAUCAAGUUGUAAGAGAAAAAAGGAAAUGUCAGAGAGACAGAUAAAUGGGACAUAAAAGAAACAGGUAUUUCGUAAUCACAUCGUCUGGGAGGAGUCUGCUCAGAAUUUACAGCAUCUGGCUUUGGAGGAGAAAGAGAAAUACUUGGUGUUCCCUGGACUGGAUUUGAGUUCCGGUUUGCUGGAGAAAAAGGCACCCCUCCCCCUUUGAAACUUCUGGGACAAACUCCGAGAGAGGUCGUUGAGUUGAAUCAUCACAAAAGGUGAGAACACUGAGGUCACAGCAGGUUCUUCUGACUCUUCGGUCCCCACAUGUUUGAAGAGAUGGACGAGUCCUAACAUUUACUGAGUGCUAUGAGCCUGGCCGACAACAACCCAAUGAGGGAUAUUUGGACACAGAACACCAAGUGAAAAUGAAGGCAGAGAUCAGGGUGGUGCAUCUCCAUACAAGCCAAAGAUUGCCCGCAAACCACCGGGAGCUAGGAGAGAGUCAAGGAACGGAUUCUCUUUCACGACACUCAGAAGAGACCAACCCUGCUUUGAUCUUCAAGUUCCAGCCUCCGCAACUGUGAGACCACAACGUUCUGUUUGAGGCAUUCAGUCUGUGGUACUUUGUGACAAAAGCCCCAGGAAACAAUACAGACUAGAGACUUCAACCAACCGUCUGCCAAGAUAACAGGGGGCUCAGAAACCAAAGAAGUUAUAGCUACUGUUUGAAGACAGCUCUUUUCCAUGUGAUGAUUCAGAAACUCAGGCGCCUUCCAGCUUGUGGCUGUACUAUCCCCAAGGGUCCAGGACCUCAUCAUUAUUCUUCCCUUCCAGACACAACUUCCCAUUUGCACCCUUCAUCCCGCACAGAGAGCCUACACCCACGUCCUCCUUAAGGAAAAUAACCCAGAGCUCCAUUCAGUCUCUACAACCACUUGAAAUUCUGGGACUCUGGAGAACACAACGUCUCUUCAAUCAGAUCUACAUGUGGUUCCUGAUGGUCCAACAAUUAUUAACUAAAAGACCUAGUUAUUUGCUCCUCCAAUCCACAUCUGCUAUGCCAUGGAAGAACAGGGACUUGAGGACUGCAAUAAAACUCUCAUUCAGAAAAUGGGAGAAUGGGAAAGAGUCCUUGGUUAAUAGCACAAUGGAAUCUUGCUAGGUGGGCAGUGUGAAGGCCCUUUGCCAGGUAAGAGGGGAUAAAACGCCUUGCUUAGUCCUUUAAUCUGCUCUCUGGGAGGGUUUCAUUAUCUAUUUUUCUCUAAGGCCCCUUGCUCCAUCCUUUUGGAUAUCCUUCCUUGUCCAUUAUCCUUUUGGGCCACUUCCGAAGUAUACUCCUGAAAGACUGUACAGCCUUCCUAGCCCACUUUCUUCUCAGGCAAAUCUAGGAACAAAGGGCAAGCUUGACCAAUCAAAGAUGAUUUCAUCCCAGCUUGUGACUCCUUAGUAAUACAAUUCCCUACAAAACUUAGUAAUCUUCUGAUUUAUUUGCUUCCACUGGAUUCCAAGUGCCAGUAACCACACCCUAAAUUUUUUCCUGGACAUAAUUCUGAAGCCUAAAUUAUUUUUUUCCCCCUGUCCAUAGCUUUCUCUCAACUUAAUGGCAGCUACCUUGAGGUCAUCUGAAUGAUAGACUCGGGUGGAAAGACUACACCCUUAAUGAGUUUUGCUACAGGGGCUG